This 46-nucleotide non-coding RNA is filed under the name Schistosoma haematobium. The record is from RNAcentral. Lineage: Eukaryota; Metazoa; Platyhelminthes; Trematoda; Strigeidida; Schistosomatidae.
GCACUGUUGAGAAGUCCCAUAAUAGGACGAAACGGACUUCCAGUGC